RNAcentral lists this ribosomal RNA (503 nucleotides) under uncultured bacterium. Its description in RNAcentral is "partial 16S ribosomal RNA". It matches the Rfam family "Bacterial small subunit ribosomal RNA", at positions 30 to 523 of the family's 1533-position model. The record is from RNAcentral.
AUUGAACGCUGGCGGCAGGCUUAACACAUGCAAGUCGAGCGGGGUGAUGGUGCUUGCACUAUCACUUAGCGGCGGACGGGUGAGUAAUGCUUAGGAAUCUGCCUAUUAGUGGGGGACAACAUCUCGAAAGGGAUGCUAAUACCGCAUACGUCCUACGGGAGAAAGCAGGGGAUCACUUGUGACCUUGCGCUAAUAGAUGAGCCUACGUGGGAUUAGCUAGUUGGUGGGGUAAAGGCCUACCAAGGCGACGAUCUGUAGCGGGUCUGAGAGGAUGAUCCGCCACACUGGGACUGAGACACGGCCCAGACUCCUACGGGAGGCAGCAGUGGGGAAUAUUGGACAAUGGGGGGAACCCUGAUCCAGCCAUGCCGCGUGUGUGAAGAAGGCCUUAUGGUUGUAAAGCACUUUAAGCGAGGAGGAGGCUCUUUUGGUUAAUACCCAAGAUGAGUGGACGUUACUCGCAGAAUAAGCACCGGCUAACUCUGUGCCAGCAGCCGCCGCUG